Molecule: long non-coding RNA, 974 nt
Organism: Canis lupus familiaris (dog)
Lineage: Eukaryota; Metazoa; Chordata; Mammalia; Carnivora; Canidae
Exons: 3
Source: RefSeq, a predicted model, not a curated record
CCCAGGCUCCGGCCCCGCCGGGGACGCGUCCCUGACAGGGUCCCGGGCUGCCUGACAGGAACCAGACCUGCCCGAGGGCCGAGGGCACACAGCGCCGCGUUCCUCUCCUCGCCGCCGGAGACCCCGUCCCGCCGUGCGGAGGCCCCGUGACGGGCCGCCUCGGGACAGCGAGCAGGCGGCGGGAAGCGCACCCUCCCCGAGGGCGCCGGGCCCUGCGCUGAUAACCGGUCGCUGCUGGCCUGAAGGACCUGGCUACCCCGUGCCGGGCUCGGCCUCUGCAGCCCCUGACCGCCUUCCGGGUUCGCUCUCAGCCCGGCGAACGGCGACGGGAACCGACACGACCCCCUCGAGCAACAAGGACUCGCAGGGCCGACCCCGAAACACGGACGGAUUGGACCGCCACUGCCCACAUGCAGAAAACAGAAAUAUGAAGAGUGAAGUCCACUUACCUGGAUUAAUUUCAUAGCAAUGAGGCGGAAUCCCUUUUGCUCGAAACGCUUGAUGAUCUCUCCCACAAGGCUGCGCUGGACUCCAUCAGGCUUGAUGGCAAUGAAGGUGCGUUCACUGUUGGCCAUGGUCCUGAGGAUAAACAGCUGGGAGGAUGAAACGGCACGGAAUAUCCUGCCUACAUCAUUAUCCAUCGCAAGCCGAUUACCCCAUAAAGCUGGUUUAAAUCUGUCAUGCCAACUCCAAGUCUCUCAGAGAAGACUGGGCUCAAGACUUGCUCUGCCUUCACAAGAAGGGAAGGAGGAGGCCCCUGACCUUGAAGGUCAAUCCCUAAUGAGGACAGCCACACCACCUCCUGGCUCUAUCUUCCUGUAGGUUAGUUAACCUCUUAUUAUGACAGCUUAAUAUAUUUUAAUUUCUGGAAGGCCUGGGUGGUUCAGUGGUUGAGCCUUUAGCUCAGGUCUUGUUUCCGGGGUCCUGAGAUCAGAGUCCCCAAUCGGGCUCCCCACAAGGAGCCUGCUUCUCCC